This 433-nucleotide ribosomal RNA is filed under the name uncultured bacterium. RNAcentral describes it as "partial 16S ribosomal RNA". It matches the Rfam family "Bacterial small subunit ribosomal RNA", at positions 29 to 507 of the family's 1533-position model. The record is from RNAcentral.
AACGAACGCUGGCGGCAUGCCUAACACAUGCAAGUCGAACGAUACCUUCGGGUCUAGUGGCGCACGGGUGCGUAACGCGUGGGAACCUGCCCUUAGGGUCGGAAUAGCUCCCCGAAAGGGGUGCUAAUACCGGAUAAUGGCUUCGGACCAAAGAUUUAUCGACUUUGGAUGGGCCCGAGUGGGUUUAGGUAGUUGGUAGGGUAAACGCCUACCAAGGCGACGAUCCAUAGAUGGUCUGAGAGAAUGAUCAGCCACACUGGGACUGAGACACGGCACAGACUCCUACGGGAGGCAGCAGUGGGGAAUAUUGGAAAAUGGGCGAAAGCCUGAUCCAGCAAUGCCGCGUGAGUGAUGAAGGUCUUAGGGUUGUAAAGCUCUUUUACCCGGGAUGAUAAUGACAGUACCGGGAGAAUAAGCCCCGGCUAACUCCGUG